UACGUAGGGUGCGAGCGUUUGUCCGGAAUUAUUGGGCGUAAAGAGCUUGUAGGCGGUUUGUCGCGUCUGCUGUGAAAAUCCGGGGCUCAACCCCGGACUUGCAGUGGGUACGGGCAGACUAGAGUGUGGUAGGGGAGACUGGAAUUCCUGGUGUAGCGGUGAAAUGCGCAGAUAUCAGGAGGAACACCGAUGGCGAAGGCAGGUCUCUGGGCCAUUACUGACACUGAGAAGCGAAAGCAUGGGGAGCGAACAGG
This 254-nucleotide ribosomal RNA is filed under the name uncultured bacterium. RNAcentral's name for it is "partial 16S ribosomal RNA". It matches the Rfam family "Bacterial small subunit ribosomal RNA", at positions 524 to 776 of the family's 1533-position model. The record is from RNAcentral.